UCACCAAGUGAAUGCCUUUGAGUCUCACAAUCCACCAGUGACACCUAGCAGCAUGUAGUGGCAACCCAGUAGAAUGGAAUGAUGAACCUCUAGGUGUAGUUAGUGUAUGAUACAGUUCCUCUAUCGUGGAUCCCGACAAGACGGAGGUCAUGGAUAACUCGUCAAACUCCUAUCGUCUGUCAUAUGUCAAGAUUUAUUCGACUUAAGUUC
Molecule: long non-coding RNA, 210 nt
Filed under: Phoenix dactylifera (date palm)
Lineage: Eukaryota; Viridiplantae; Streptophyta; Magnoliopsida; Arecales; Arecaceae
Description: long non-coding RNA (PDAC_LNC014503)
Source: RNAcentral